Erythranthe guttata (spotted monkey flower) is the source of this 838-nucleotide non-coding RNA. Lineage: Eukaryota; Viridiplantae; Streptophyta; Magnoliopsida; Lamiales; Phrymaceae. The record is from RefSeq and is a predicted model, not a curated record.
GUCCGCCGUUUACAUCCCUCCUCUCGGUUUCUCUUUAUCUCUCCCUUUCUCUCUAACUCUCUCUCGCCACUGUUCUUAUUUCGAGAGAAAAAUAUUUAUCCAAAUCUCUCGGUUGGUUCGGAUUCAGGUUCCCUUCAAAUUCGAAACCCUAGGUUUCAGAGAAAAAUCGCAAAUGGUCAUCGGAAGAACUUCCGUCGCUGCGAGAGAUUUCCAGAUUGUUCCGGUGGCGGAGAUGGAGCCGUUGUCUUCUGACCAUCAUUCACCUGAGUGCCUUUCAUGGAAACAGAUGGUCAGCAAAUUGGUGCUGCAAAUUGAAAUCUCUGGUGUGGAAUGGCGACAGUGCCAUAAUUAGAUCAGUGCUUGAUGACAUUACUCAAAAGUAUAGUCGUCCGUAUAAGGUUGCUACUUCAUACAAUAAGGAAUGAUGGGGAAUAGUACACUAUGAAGUUAAAUUUAUUAAGAGUAUAGAACAUUGUAGAUGACUAUAGUCAUAUACAGUAACAUUACUACAUGUUACUGUAGUCGACUAUAGUUAUAUAUAGUAACAUUACUACAUGUUACUGUAGUCGACUAUAGUCAUAUAUAGUAACAUUACUACAUGUUACUGUAGUCGACUAUAGUCAUAUAUAGUAACAUUACUACAUGCUACUGUAGUUGACUAUAGUCAUAUAUAGUAGUAACAUAUAGCAACAUGUAGUCAUGUGUGGGCUAUGUGUUUUUUUUAAAUGAAGAGUGAUGAUGAUUUGUUUUUUGUUGAAGAACAUGUGCAUGUUAUUGUGUAUUUCAAUCUAUAUUUGUACAUAUUGAUUUAUAAAAUCAAGAUUUAAAUUGUGAUCUU